RNAcentral lists this ribosomal RNA (396 nucleotides) under uncultured bacterium. Its description in RNAcentral is "partial 16S ribosomal RNA". It matches the Rfam family "Bacterial small subunit ribosomal RNA", at positions 523 to 918 of the family's 1533-position model. The record is from RNAcentral.
AUACGUAGGGGGCGAGCGUUGUCUGGAAUGAUUGGGCGUAAAGGGCGCGUAGGCGGCGCGGUAAGUCUGGAGUGAAAGUCCUGCUUUCAAGGUGGGAAUUGCUUUGGAUACUGCCGCGCUUGAGUGCAGGAGAGGUUAUCGGAAUUCCCGGUGUAGCGGUGAAAUGCGUAGAGAUCGGGAGGAACACCAGUGGCGAAGGCGGGUAACUGGACUGCAACUGACGCUGAGGCGCGAAGUGUGGGGAGCAAACAGGAUUAGAUACCCUGGUAGUCCACACGGUAAACGAUGAAUGCUAGGUGUAAGAGGUAUCGACCCCUUUUGUGCCGGAGUCAACACAAUAAGUAUUCCGCCUGGGGAGUACGGCCGCAAGGUUGAAACUCAAAGGAAUUGACGGGG